RNAcentral lists this transfer RNA (77 nucleotides) under Dictyoglomota bacterium. RNAcentral describes it as "Dictyoglomi bacterium (hydrothermal vent metagenome) tRNA-Thr". It matches the Rfam family "tRNA". Rfam says of the family: Transfer RNA (tRNA) molecules are approximately 80 nucleotides in length. Their secondary structure includes four short double-helical elements and three loops (D, anti-codon, and T loops). RNAcentral also lists the same sequence under 1 other name. The record is from RNAcentral. Lineage: Bacteria; Pseudomonadati; Dictyoglomota.
GCCGGGAUAGCUCAGUCGGCCAGAGCGGGUGAUUUGUAAUCACCAGGUCGCGGGUUCGAGUCCCGCUCCCGGCUCCA